GGAAAGUNUGGAGUAAAAGGCUAUGGCUCAACCAUAGUGUGCUCUGGAAACUGUNUGACUUGAGUGCAGAAGGGGAGAGUGGAAUUCCAUGUGUAGCGGUGAAAUGCGUAGAUAUAUGGAGGANCACCAGUGGCGAAAGCGGCUCUCUGGUCUGUCACUGACGCUGAGGCUNGAAAGCGUGGGUAGCGAACAGGAUUAGAUACCCUGGUAGUNCACGCCGUAAACGAUGAGUGCUAGGUGUUAGGCCCUUUCCGGGGCUUAGUGCCGGAGCUAACGCAAUAAGCACUCCGCCUGGGGAGUACGACCGCAAGGUUGAAACUCAAAGGAAUUGACGGGGGCCCGCACAAGCGGUGGAGCAUGUGGUUUAAUUCGAAGCAACGCGAAGAACCUUACCAGGUCUUGACAUCCCGAUGCUAUUCUUAGAGAUAGGAAGUUACUUCGGUACAUCGGAGACAGGUGGUGCAUGGUUGUCGUCAGCUCGUGUCGUGAGAUGUUGGGUUAAGUCCCGCAACGAGCGCAACCCUUAUUGUUAGUUGCCAUCAUUAAGUUGGGCACUCUAGCGAGACUGCCGGUAAUAAACCGGAGGAAGGUGGGGAUGACGUCAAAUCAUCAUGCCCCUUAUGACCUGGGCUACACACGUGCCACAAUGGUCGGUACAACGAGUUGCGAGCCGGUGACGGCAAGCUAAUCUCUGAAAGCCGAUCUCAGUUCGGAUUGGAGGCUGCAACUCGCCUCCAUGAAGUCGGAAUCGCUAGUAAUCGCGGAUCAGCACGCCGCGGUGAAUACGUUCCCGGGCCUUGUACACACCGCCCGUCACACCACGAGAGUUUGUAACACCCGAAGUCGGUGAGGUAACCUUUUAGGGGCCAGCC
Molecule: ribosomal RNA, 872 nt
Filed under: uncultured bacterium
Lineage: Bacteria
Description: bacterial SSU rRNA
Rfam family: Bacterial small subunit ribosomal RNA
Source: RNAcentral